UACGGGAGGCAGCAGUGGGGAAUAUUGGGCAAUGGGCGAAAGCCUGAUCCAGCAAUGCCGCAUGAGUGAUGAAGGCCUUAGGGUUGUAAAGCUCUUUUACCAGGGAUGAUAAUGACAGUACCUGGAGAAUAAGCUCCGGCUAACUCCGUGCCAGCAGCCGCGGUAAUACGGAGGGAGCUAGCGUUGUUCGGAAUUACUGGGCGUAAAGCGCACGUAGGCGGCUACUCAAGUCGGGGGUGAAAGCCCGGGGCUCAACCCCGGAACUGCCUUCGAAACUAGGUAGCUAGAAUCUUGGAGAGGUCAGUGGAAUUCCGAGUGUAGAGGUGAAAUUCGUAGAUAUUCGGAAGAACACCAGUGGCGAAGGCGACUGACUGGACAAGUAUUGACGCUGAGGUGCGAAAGCGUGGGGCGCAAACAGGAUUAGAUACCCUGGUAGUCCACGCCGUAAACGAUGAUAACUAGCUGUCCGGGCACUUGGUGCUUGGGUGGCGCAGCUAACGCAUUAAGUUAUCCGCCUGGGGAGUACGGUCGCAAGAUUAAAACUCAAAGGAAUUGAC
Molecule: ribosomal RNA, 557 nt
Filed under: uncultured bacterium
Lineage: Bacteria
Description: bacterial SSU rRNA
Rfam family: Bacterial small subunit ribosomal RNA
Source: RNAcentral